RNAcentral lists this ribosomal RNA (326 nucleotides) under uncultured Bacillota bacterium. RNAcentral describes it as "bacterial SSU rRNA". It matches the Rfam family "Bacterial small subunit ribosomal RNA", at positions 28 to 351 of the family's 1533-position model. The record is from RNAcentral. Lineage: Bacteria; Bacillati; Bacillota.
GACGAACGCUGGCGGCGUGCCUAACACAUGCAAGUCGAGCGAGGAGAUUCCCUUCGGGGAUGAACCUAGCGGCGGACGGGUGAGUAACACGUGGGCAACCUGCCUUGUAGAGGGGAAUAGCCUUCCGAAAGGAAGAUUAAUACCGCAUAACAUUGCUUUAUCGCAUGAUAGAGCAAUCAAAGGAGCAAUCCGCUACAAGAUGGGCCCGCGGCGCAUUAGCUAGUUGGUGAGGUAAAGGCCCACCAAGCCGAUGACGGGUAGCUGGUCUGAGAGGAUGAUCAGCCACACUGGCACUGAGAUACGGGCCAGACUCCUACGGGUGGCUG